UUGAAAGUAUAUAUAACAACUUUGCCUUGUAAAGCCUAGUUAUGUCAAGGGAGGUAUGGUUUGCAAUCUCAUAUUUACCUCUCUAAAAACGAAAUUCUAAAUAACAGCUAACAACUUAACCCUUAAGAUGGUGAUAAAGUAGGCGGGGUUGUGUAAGAGUCUUCAGUCUUUGCUUUUCACGGGGAUUCACAACUUGUUUGAAAAUUUUGUUUUCUUUUGCACGUUUUUGUUUUCUCUGCCCCUCAAUCAUUGUAUCUGUGCUACUUGUUUGUAUGAAUUAUUAAUAAAAUUUCAGAGAAUCUAAACUCGCAGAGACAAAUAUGCUAGAAAAGAAUUGAAUGUACUAGAAUCGUUGGGUCACCUUGUUCUGGACAAAAUGUUCCCAUGGGAAAAUUUUUGUCAGUUCGAAUAGACAAAACAGUAGUAUGAAUGAUUCAAGCAUAAACAGAAGC
This 452-nucleotide long non-coding RNA is filed under the name Setaria viridis. RNAcentral describes it as "long non-coding RNA (SVIR_LNC003663)". The record is from RNAcentral. Lineage: Eukaryota; Viridiplantae; Streptophyta; Magnoliopsida; Poales; Poaceae.